Molecule: ribosomal RNA, 460 nt
Filed under: uncultured bacterium
Lineage: Bacteria
Description: partial 16S ribosomal RNA
Rfam family: Bacterial small subunit ribosomal RNA
Source: RNAcentral
CCUACGGGUGACAGCAGUGAGGAAUAUUGGGCAAUGGACGCAAGUCUGACCCAGCAAUGCCGCGUGCAGGAAGACGGCUCUAUGAGUUGUAAACUGCUUUUGUACGAGGGUAAACGCAGAUACGCGUAUCUGUCUGAAAGUAUCGGACGCAUAAGAAUCGGCGAACUCCGUGCCAGCAGCCGCGGUAAUACGGAGGAUUCAAGCGUUAUCCGGAUUUAUAGGGGUGAAAGGGUGCGUAGGCGGGCGGAUAAGUUAGAGGUGAAAUCCCGAGGCUCAACUUCGGAAUUGCCUCUGAUACUGUUCGGCUAGAGAGUAGUUGCGGUAGGCGGAAUGUAUGGUGUAGCGGUGAAAUGCUUAGAGAUCAGACAGAACACCGAUUGCGAAGGCAGCUUACCAAGCUACUUCUGACGUUGAGGCACGAAAGCGUGGGGAGCAAACAGGAUUAGAUACCCCUGUAGUC